CGCAGCCGCGGUAAUUCCAGCUCCAAUAGCGUAUAUUAAAGUUGUUGCAGUUAAAAAGCUCGUAGUUGAAUUUCGGGAUCAAUAUAUUGGUCGUGCCUCCGGUAUGCACUGGUAUCAUUGAUUUCUACCUUCUGACGAACUAUGAUGUCAUUAAUUUGGUGUCAUAGGGAAUCAGGACUGUUACUUUGAAAAAAUUAGAGUGUUUAAAGCAGGCACACGCUUGAAUACAUUAGCAUGGAAUAAUGAAAUAGGACGUUUGACCCUAUUUUGUUGGUUUCUAGGAUCGACGUAAUGAUUAAUAGGGAUAGUUGGGGGCAUUAGUAUUCAAUUGUCAGAGGUGAAAUUCUUGGAUUUAUUGAAGACUAACUACUGCGAAAGCAUUUGCCAAGGAUGUUUUCAUUAAUCAAGAACGAAAGUUAGGGGAUCGAAGACGAUCAGAUACCGUCGUAGUCUUAACCAUAAACUAUGCCGACUAGGGAUCGGAUGAUGUUAAUUUUUUAAUGACCCAUUCGGCG
RNAcentral lists this ribosomal RNA (515 nucleotides) under uncultured Glomus. Its description in RNAcentral is "SSU rRNA". It matches the Rfam family "Eukaryotic small subunit ribosomal RNA", at positions 569 to 1085 of the family's 1831-position model. The record is from RNAcentral. Lineage: Eukaryota; Fungi; Glomeromycota; Glomeromycetes; Glomerales; Glomeraceae.